GGCGCCAUCGUCUAGCGGUUAGGACAUUGCCCUCUCACGGCGAAAACAGGGGUUCGAUUCCCCUUGGCGCUACCA
This 75-nucleotide transfer RNA is filed under the name Candidatus Peregrinibacteria bacterium RIFOXYA2_FULL_33_7. RNAcentral describes it as "tRNA-Glu". It matches the Rfam family "tRNA". From Rfam's summary of the family: Transfer RNA (tRNA) molecules are approximately 80 nucleotides in length. RNAcentral also lists the same sequence under 1 other name. The record is from RNAcentral. Lineage: Bacteria; Candidatus Peregrinibacteriota.